Long non-coding RNA from Dermochelys coriacea (leatherback sea turtle), 1285 nucleotides. RefSeq lists it as uncharacterized. The record is from RefSeq and is a predicted model, not a curated record. The transcript has 3 exons. Lineage: Eukaryota; Metazoa; Chordata; Testudines; Dermochelyidae.
AUUAAUACCUGGGGGAGCAAACAGCUGUGCAUAUCUCUCGAUCAGUGUUAUAGAGGGCAGAUAAUUUAUGCGUUUACCCUGUAUAAGCUUUAUACAGAGUAAAAUGGGUUUAUUUGGGGUUUGGAGCCCAUUGGGCGCUGGGUGUCUGAGUGCUGGAAAUAGGUGACCUGCUGAGCAGGGUUUGGUUAAAGCCUCCAGCUUUGGGGGCGUGGACCAGACCUUGAUCUGUGUUUGCAGCAGACUAGUGUGUCUGGCUCAACAAGGCAGAGUUCUGGAGUCUCAAGCUGGCAGUGGAAAACGGCUCAGAGGUAAUCCCAGCACGUCAGGUGGCAGUCCGAAGGGUGUCUCUCUGACUGAAUCUGUCACACUGGGUUGGCUGUGAUACCGGAGCCUCCAAAUAUUGCAGCCAACGAAGAUGAGUGAGAAGUUCCGGCAGCGUCACGAGUACCCGGAUGAAUGAACGUUGGGGGGAACGUUGGCAAGACAGAAAGUGGGAUUUGUCCAACACGAGCGGCCGCCGGACAGAACCCACGGGCCGGGCUGGGGCCCGCCUGGGACACAGGAGAAGUGGGGGAACAGAAAUCCGUGACCCAAAAUUGGGGUGUUGGAAAUGAGGCCUCAUUGGUGGAAAAAAUAUUGUGGGGAUGAGCUGUGUCACCCACCUCCCUUUGGGUGCCUGAAAGAAAGAUUUCAGAGUAGCAGCCGUGUUAGUCUGUAUUCGCAAAAAGAAAAGGAGUACUUGUGGCACCUUAGAGACUAACAAAUUUAUUAGAGCAUAAGCUUUCGUGAGCUACAGCUCACUUCAUCGGAUGCAUUUGAUUCGCUUCAUCCUCCUGGCUUCCACCCCCCAUCUCCUGGGGCCAUCUGCGGCCAUCUGGGCCCUGAUCUGUGGAGACAUCCUGAGCAGAGCGGCCGGAAAGAGGGACCCCGACGCCGUCGCCUCUCCCCCGGCUUAACCCCCAACCCGGGAGGAAACGGGAGACAAAGGAUUCCUGCCUUCUGCCAAAGCUAUUAAAGGAACAGAACAAAGUCAUGUUGAAUCCCCUGCUUUUCACCUAAGAUAUCUGCUGGAAUUAACAAGGACUGUACCGGGGAAAGGAUUGGGCCCAGACUAGGAAGGAAUCUAGUCUGGGAAAGAAGCUUAUUGUAUUCACUCUGAGAGUGAGAUUUACCUGUAUUCAGUUUCUUAAAUGUAUUAGGCUUUGACUUGCGUGUUUUGUUUUAUUUUGCUUGGUAACUUACUUUGUUCUGUCUGUUAUUACUUGAAACCACUUAAAUCUGACUU